Ilex paraguariensis (yerba mate) is the source of this 114-nucleotide non-coding RNA. NCBI's taxonomy places the organism in Eukaryota, Viridiplantae, Streptophyta, Magnoliopsida, Aquifoliales, Aquifoliaceae. The record is from the annotation of a GenBank genome assembly.
GCGAUCAUACUACCACUAAUGCACUAGAUCCUAUCAGAACACCGUAAUUAAUCGUGCUUGGGCGAGAGCAGUACCAGGAUGAAUGACCCCCUAGGAAGUCCUCAUGUUGCACUA